UGCUCGAAUAGCUCAGUUGGUUAGAGCGCUCGGCUGUUAACCGAGAUGUCGGGAGUUCGAAUCUCCCUUCGAGCG
Molecule: transfer RNA, 75 nt
Filed under: Tetraselmis virus 1
Lineage: Varidnaviria; Bamfordvirae; Nucleocytoviricota; Megaviricetes; Imitervirales; Allomimiviridae
Description: tRNA-Asn
Rfam family: tRNA
About the family: Transfer RNA (tRNA) molecules are approximately 80 nucleotides in length. Their secondary structure includes four short double-helical elements and three loops (D, anti-codon, and T loops).
Source: RNAcentral